GAUUUCAUCUGUAUGCCAUACCAAUGUCUCCAGACUCUUUGGAUAUGAGAACUGUUAGAAAAUAUGUAGGGUUGCAUGUAUAGAUUUCAAAACCUUUUUGAAGUAGCAGUGAAAAUAAUCUAGGUAUUAAACUCUUUAACCCCACAUAUAAUAGAUUUAAUCUAUAUCUAUCCGAGCUCUGGAUCUAAGACAUACAUAUAAUCUGAAAAUAAAAUAAAAAAAAUUAAGAUCAGAUCUCAAUACCUUAUGC
This 250-nucleotide long non-coding RNA is filed under the name Elaeis guineensis (African oil palm). RNAcentral's name for it is "long non-coding RNA (EGUI_LNC010424)". Lineage: Eukaryota; Viridiplantae; Streptophyta; Magnoliopsida; Arecales; Arecaceae. The record is from RNAcentral.